RNAcentral lists this ribosomal RNA (465 nucleotides) under Vreelandella stevensii. RNAcentral's name for it is "partial 16S ribosomal RNA". It matches the Rfam family "Bacterial small subunit ribosomal RNA", at positions 338 to 795 of the family's 1533-position model. The record is from RNAcentral. Lineage: Bacteria; Pseudomonadati; Pseudomonadota; Gammaproteobacteria; Oceanospirillales; Halomonadaceae.
CCUACGGGAGGCAGCAGUGGGGAAUAUUGGACAAUGGGCGAAAGCCUGAUCCAGCCAUGCCGCGUGUGUGAAGAAGGCCUUCGGGUUGUAAAGCACUUUCAGUGGGGAAGAAAGCCUUGGGGCUAAUACCCUCGAGGAAGGACAUCACCCACAGAAGAAGCACCGGCUAACUCCGUGCCAGCAGCUGCGGUAAUACGGAGGGUGCGAGCGUUAAUCGGAAUUACUGGGCGUAAAGCGCGCGUAGGCGGUCUGAUAAGCCGGUUGUGAAAGCCCCGGGCUCAACCUGGGAACGGCAUCCGGAACUGUCAGGCUAGAGUGCAGGAGAGGAAGGUAGAAUUCCCGGUGUAGCGGUGAAAUGCGUAGAGAUCGGGAGGAAUACCAGUGGCGAAGGCGGCCUUCUGGACUGACACUGACGCUGAGGUGCGAAAGCGUGGGUAGCAAACAGGAUUAGAUACCCCGGUAGUC